Molecule: long non-coding RNA, 2130 nt
Organism: Homo sapiens (human)
Lineage: Eukaryota; Metazoa; Chordata; Mammalia; Primates; Hominidae
Product: long independently transcribed non-coding RNA 320
Exons: 8
Source: RefSeq, marked validated
ACUGUGUGAUUUUUGUUCUUUAGUAGAAGGAUAACAUGACAUAGCAGGAAUAAUACUGCCUUUUCUUUCUGGCAUGGAUCAAGAGAAAAGAAAAUACAAGAAAACAGACAGAAGCAAGGCAAGGUACUUCUAUGGAAGGGUGAGCCCUCACAGAUGGAGCAAUGGGGCGCGCACACCUGAACAAGGGAGGGGAAGGAGUUCUUAUCCCUGAUGCAUGUGACCCCUGCUGCUGUGUCCUUCCCCUAUUGGCUAAGGUUAGACCACACAGCCUAAACUAAUUCCGAUUGGCUAAUUCAAAGAGAGCGACGGGGGCUUCUGACAGCUUUGGAGAUUGUGACAUUGGAAUAAAGGAAAAACGUACAGGACUCAUGAAGCGCUGAAAUGUUCACAAAUAUCAAGCAAAAGUCAAUGAAAUUUAUUUUGAGCUAUUUACAUCAUUUAAUAAUUGAGCAAGGUAUACUCCUAUGAACAAAAUUUGGAGCAUGUUUGUCUCUCUCUGCCUGGCGUCUUCAGAAUUUGGAAACUAGUUAUGGUUUAUAAUCAGCUAUAGAAUUUUAACACGUGCUCUCAAAUGCAAGUUUCUGAUAACUUUGGAGAUUGUGACAUUGGAAUAAAGGAAGAGCUGGAAUGUUCAUGAAUAUCAAGCAAAAGUCAUGGAAAUUUAUUUUGAGCUAUUUACAGCAUUUAAUAAUUGAGCAAGGUAUACUCCUAUGAACAAAAUUUGGAGCAUGUUUGUCUCUCUCUGUCUGCCUGGCAUCUACAGAAUUUGGAAACUAGUUGUGCUGUACUGCAUGAGAAUGCCUGCAUUUAGUAUGCGAACUGGAAUUGGCAAAGGACGAUGGCUGCUCUCCCGCUAACUUUAAAUAAGUCAUGUCACAAAUUGCAUUCGUUCCCAGAUUUCCUAAACUUUCCAGAGAAAAUGGUCUUCUCCCUGGCUCAGCAAGAAGAUGAACUUUAAACACUGAGAAACUGGUCAUCUCCCUGGCUCAACCAGAAGAUGAACUUUAAACACUACUCUCAAUGACUUGAUGUUCCCAUCACUACUCCUGUCAUAAAGGGAGGGGACUCAGAUAUUGAGAAUUUUAUGAUAGUGUGAACUGUCUGGUAUGUCAUUUAAGUAAGCCCGUUGCUGAAAUAUUUUCCAUGUUAUUAGAAAGAGCUGAAGAGAGGGAUUGAGAUGGCUUCUUUAUUUUUUGUCUUUUGGGAAUUAAAGGAACCUGGUUCAACAAGGGCCUACACCUAAGUCUCUUGUUGUACCAGAGUACAAUUUAGGACUGCUCCUGAGGAAGGAAUUAGCUAGAAAUCUAGAGAGUAAGGGUAACAGAUUUACAUAGAAUAACAGCCUCAGUAUUUUUGGUUCCUCUCCAGUAAAGAUCACAAAGAAUAUUGCUAAAUCGCUAAAACACCUUUGCAAUAACGUAAGGGCUUACAACUAUAUACCAAUGUAGCUCAGUUACUAAACUGGAGUAAACUAAUUUCUCUUGUGUAGAAAAAUUGGUUGGCUGUGGUUUUAUAGCAGAUCUGCAAUUAUUAAUAGUUAUGCCAAUAAUCGUUUAACAGUGCAUAUGUUAAUAUAUAUGGAAAGACAAUGUGUAUAGACAGAUGUGUAAAAUUGAAAAAUAAACAUAUAACAAGAGAGAAACAUCUAUCGAACAGACAAUAUACAUACACAUCAAACACAACAGCAGUUUUAGUGACCAUAAUAUUUAUUUCUCAUUUUUACAUUGCUUACUUUAGUGACAACUGAAAAUGACAGUUGGCAAUGCAGCUAACAGUUUCAAUAAAAGUAUAAAACAAAAGACUGUGUACAAAGCACCUGUCUUUCCGCUUUUGUAAUCUUCCGUUGGAAAAAAUUUACACACCUAAGUAACCAUCUGUUUUCUUCAAGAAAAAAUCAUUCUUAUUUCUCUCUCUCAUCUUGAAAACAGCUGUCAGCCAGGAGGGCAGAGCUGAAAUUUAUUGCCACAUCACAUGAAGCAUAGAACAGACUCCACUACUCCUUGAGAUUCAAAACUUUGCCUCUCACAAAGUUACCUUUUAUUUUCCUCUUGUUUGUCACUCAUCUCCCCUAGUGUGCUCUUUUUAUUUCUUUUACUAUUAAUAAUAAAAUCUGUGGAUGACUGUAUUAUU